RNAcentral lists this ribosomal RNA (253 nucleotides) under uncultured archaeon. RNAcentral's name for it is "partial 16S ribosomal RNA". It matches the Rfam family "Archaeal small subunit ribosomal RNA", at positions 474 to 727 of the family's 1478-position model. The record is from RNAcentral.
AACCAGCACCUCAAGUGGUCAGGAUGAUUAUUGGGCCUAAAGCAUCCGUAGCCUGUUAUGUAAGUUUUCGGUUAAAUCUAUGCGCUCAACGUAUAGGCUGCCGAAAAUACUGCAAAACUAGGGAGUGGGAGAGGUAGACGGUACUCGGUAGGAAGGGGUAAAAUCCUUUGAUCUAUUGAUGACCACCAGUGGCGAAGGCGGCCUCCUGGAUCUGUACUGACACUGAGGUGCGAAAGCGUGGGUAGCGAACAGG